ACCUCAAAUCGGGUGAGACUACCCGCUGAACUUAAGCAUAUCAAUAAGCGGAAGAA
This 56-nucleotide ribosomal RNA is filed under the name uncultured Russulaceae. Its description in RNAcentral is "partial 28S ribosomal RNA". The record is from RNAcentral. Lineage: Eukaryota; Fungi; Basidiomycota; Agaricomycetes; Russulales; Russulaceae.